GCCUCAAAGCUAGCUCUAACUCUUUAGCAAAAUUAAUAAUUUAACUAGCUACGCAACUACAAUGAAAGAGAAACCAAAUCAUUUGACCUU
This 90-nucleotide ribosomal RNA is filed under the name Cetengraulis edentulus (Atlantic anchoveta). RNAcentral's name for it is "partial 16S ribosomal RNA". Lineage: Eukaryota; Metazoa; Chordata; Actinopteri; Clupeiformes; Engraulidae. The record is from RNAcentral.